GACGAACGCUGGCGGCGUGCUUAACACAUGCAAGUCGAACGGAAAGGCCCUGCUUUUGUGGGGUGCUCGAGUGGCGAACGGGUGAGUAACACGUGAGUAACCUGCCCUUGACUUUGGGAUAACUUCAGGAAACUGGGGCUAAUACCGGAUAGGAGCUCCUGCUGCAUGGUGGGGGUCGGAAAGUUUCGGCGGUUGGGGAUGGACUCGCGGCUUAUCAGCUUGUUGGUGGGGUAGUGGCAUACCAAGGCUUUGACGGGUAGCCGGCCUGAGAGGGUGACCGGCCACAUUGGGACUGAGAUACGGCCCAGACUCCUACGGGAGGCAGCAGUGGGGAAUAUUGCACAAUGGGCGGAAGCCUGAUGCAGCAACGCCGCGUGCGGGAUGACGGCCUUCGGGUUGUAAACCGCUUUCGCCUGUGACGAAGCGUGAGUGACGGUAAUGGGUAAAGAAGCACCGGCUAACUACGUG
This 468-nucleotide ribosomal RNA is filed under the name uncultured bacterium. RNAcentral's name for it is "partial 16S ribosomal RNA". It matches the Rfam family "Bacterial small subunit ribosomal RNA", at positions 28 to 507 of the family's 1533-position model. The record is from RNAcentral.